CCUCCCCCACCCAGCACGCAUAUGAGGAGGAUCUUCCUUUCUGCUAAGUAAGGGGACAAAUUCCCCCUCCCUGCCCCCACUGCCACACUAAAAGACAGUCAGCCAAAAAGGACGGCCGUGGCUCUUCACCCUCGGAACUUGUCCACGAUCUCUGCCCCCGAGAACUCAUCCACUGUGCCUUUGGGCACGUUCUUCUCCAGCCAGACCAAGUACCGGAUCACAGCCACAGCGUCCCGCACCUGGAGUUGGGGAAGCAGGGAAACAGAGGAGCCGGGAAGGCUUCCUUGAUUGACACUGCCUUGCUUGGCAAUGAACUCCCUGUCUUCGGAUCCCACCAGCACUCUGGGAUGGAUCAGAGUCUGGCCUGAGUCACUCGACAGGCUGUCCUGACAGUGCCGUCUCCUCAAGCGCCGACAGAAGGACGGCAGUCGGGACCUUUUGAUGCUUCUGCAUCUGGCUUCGGACGCCAGAUACUUUCUCCUGCCAAGUGCUCCCUAGAAGCAAAGGAGCCCCAAAAAAGUAGAAACCAGGGAUAUGAGUGAGAAAUGAAGGAAGGCUGUGGCGCCCCUCUCCACCCUCUCCCUUUCCCCACCGGCUGGAAGAUGCUCCUGUCCAAAUGGGAAAUUGAGGCCAAAAUAGCACAAUAAAGGAAAGGAAGCGCUCCAGGAGCAGAUGGGCUCCCACUCACCGUCCUGAGGAAUGUGCUGACUAUUCAGGAACAGGCCUUUGGCAGUCACUUAACACAAUCACGAAGCAAAGGGAAAUGAUCAAGUCUGUCACCAGGGUCAGUGCCAAUUUGUUUAAGAACGUGGUGAGGCUGAAAAGGAGGAUGUGGGGAAUGGGAGGCCCCGAACAUUCCUGGAGCCAGUUUGCAAAACCUCCCGGGCAGCAAUCCCAGUUAUGCCGGGAAAGGCCAGAGGCUUCUGGGGUUCUUGGAGGAAGCCUUUCCAGUUCCUCUCUCCUGGGGCCCAGGGCUUGUAGCCCCAGAUCAACCUCCCAGCCAGCCUGGACUCUCCUCCUGACCACAUUCAUCUCAAGGACAAGAGCACCUGCUGCAGCCAUCUCCACAAUAAAGGGGAGAAUGCAACAGCUCCUCUGGGUGCCAACUGAGGACACUGCCGAUUCUGGGGCUGCAGUCUCAAGCUGCUGAGCCUACGUGAACAAAGUCAAGGCAACUGCGGCAUGGUGUGUGAGUCAGCUGCUUGGCUCUUCUGUGUGUGUGCAUGUGUGUGUGUGUGUGUGUGUGUGUGUGUGUGGUGAGGGAGGUGGAUUCUGGAUGAGUGAGAGACUAAAACAAAAUUGGAAACACGACCGCUAAAAGACUAACAUUUUCAGGCCAAGUCAGUUCAUCUUCCCUGCAAAAGAGCAUUUGAAACCCUAGCCAGUCCCGCUCCUGUCCGACUUACUAGACCCUGUGGACUGGCUUAUAGCAGGGAUUUUACAACUGAUAGAAGCUGGCAGUGUAGAGAAAAUAGCAAAAGGGCUCUGGAGCCAGAGAGAUGAACAUUGAAAUCUGGGCAAGGGACUCACCUCCUUGAACCUUGGUAAAAGAAUUCGGUAACUUAGGUUGAACUAUAUGAAAAUGCUAUUUUGUGGGUCAAAAAAGAUUGAAUAUUGACAAUUUCUUAUGGUUCAACCCAGUAGCGCCUUCCUCCCAGAGUUACUGUGCAGAUUAAAUGAGCUAAUAUACAAGAGUGUUUAUACCAGCAUGUGACACAUGAUAAAUGCCAAAUAAAGGAUAAUCAUGAUGAUGGUGAUGAUAAUGGGUAUUUAACACCUAAUUUUGGCCACAGAAUGAGCCCUGACCCUGGCCAUCUCAUAAAUACAAGUCCUGGAUAGGCUGAAAUACCUCAGGGACAUAAUCUUCGGGGUUAAAAUAUUUCCCUGACCAAAUAACACCCCCCAACCCAGGCUGUCCCAGCUCUUAAAAUUUUUUGCUUAUAGGUCACUCUGUGGUGAAACCACUCUUCAAUGAAGGCUCCCACUAAAGAGUCCCCAAAGGGGAAGAGAUUCAUUCACUGAUUCAUUCGUUCAUUGAACAGCUUGUAUCAAGAGCCUAUUAUGUUGCCAGGCACUGUGCUAGGUGCUGGAUUGAAGAAGGUAUGCUCCCUGCCCUGGAGGAAUUUGCAAUUAGAUAUGAGGGAAAGCCCCCAGACAGGUACCAACAGUCCACUUUUGACAAGUGUCAUAGCCAUAAAAAGUAUGUCCCAAGCUUUGUGGGGUCACUGAAGAGGGAUCAUCCUCUCUCUGAGGCAGGAGAAUACAUUCUGGAGGCAGGGAACCUAAGGCCGUUUCACGCUGAGUUCCUAGAACUAAAUUGAAAGGAGAACCCUAACUUUCCAUGCCUAAGUAACAAAAGGACCAGAGGCUACUCCCUUUGCAAGCUCCCAGCUUUUCUGCGUGGCCGAUGGGAAAUUGAAAGUACCUAUGAUUGGUUGUUAGACAUUUGCAUAGGAGUGUAACUUUGAAACUUCACUUCAGCCUCUGUAGGCUGUCCACAACCAAUCAGACUGAUUGCGGGUCAAGUCUUCGUUUGCAUAGAAGUGCAACAUUGUAACUUCACUUGAGCCUCUGAUUGGUUGCAGACAGCAACCAAUCAGAUCUUUGCAUAAAAGUGUGACCUUUGUAACUUCACUUCAGCCUCUGAUUGGUUGCAAUAAGACUGGUUGCAGACCACCACUUCAUUUACAUGGGGUGAACACCAAGUGGCCAAUGGGAAACCUCUAGUGGGUAUUUGGACCCGAGAAGUUUCUGUAUCUGGGCCCUUGAGUGGCUGCUCGGGCCCGUUCCCACGCUUUGGAGUGUACUGUCGUUUUCAAUAAAUCUCUGCUUUUGUUGUUUCAUUCUUUCCUGCUUUGUUUGUGUGUUUUGUCCAAUUCUUUGUUCAAAACACGGAGAACAUGGACACCCUCCACCGAUAACACCUCCAUCCAUCUUAACGCUGUUAGGUGGUCGGAGAUGGCUAUACAGAAAAAGUGACAUUUCAGAUGGAUUUUGAACGAUGUGUAGGAAUUCCUUGCAGGGAGAAGGUGUGAGUUCAAGCAGGGGAAACCUAAUAUGUAGAGGCACUGGUUUGCAAAGGGGUGUGAGCACUUUUAGGGACUGGUUCUAAGUUCAGCGUGUCUGGAGCACCCGUUAAGAAAAGGAGUAUCAGGAACUGAGGAUGAGGAGGCACGUCAGGGCUGGGCUGGAAAGUGCACCCUGGAUGUAAUUCUCUAGGCAACUGAGAACCAACAGAUGAAAAUUUCUCAGUGUCCAGACAGAAGACUUUCUGAUUUUGUCUGGAAUGGGGCCUGGGAAUCUGAGAUACACGGUCUUCUUUUUCCUUCCUUCCUUCCUUCCUUCCUUCCUUCCUUUCUUUCUUUCUUUUUCUUUUCUUUCUUUCUUUCUCUGUUUCUCUCUUUCUCUUUCUUCUUUCUCUUUCUUUCUCUGUUUCUCUCUUUCUCUCUUUC
RNAcentral lists this long non-coding RNA (3452 nucleotides) under Homo sapiens (human). Its description in RNAcentral is "HSALNT0286291". Lineage: Eukaryota; Metazoa; Chordata; Mammalia; Primates; Hominidae. The record is from RNAcentral.